UUUCAUCCUCCAUGGAAGCUUGUUUUAAAACCUUAAUAACUUCUCUCAAGCUAGCUCUAAUUUUCAUGCUUUUGUGCACCCUUUUGUAGAACCUUUUGUGCUCUUUCACUAUCUCACUUUAAAACCCUUGAAAAGUCUUACUUUCAUACUUCCUCUCACUAGCUAGGUGUUUUAGAGAGAGAAAGAGGGAGCUUUUAUAAUAGCUUAAAAUUUCUUUGAAAGAAUUUCAAUUACAAAGGUACCAAGGUGAGUAGUGAAUUAGAGUUGAUUUUUAGUUGUUGAUAAUGUCUAGUAAUUUUAUUUGUGAGUGUUUUAUUGUUGAGAUUGUUUAAUCAUUUUUAGUGUGACUAGAGUAGUGCAAAUAAUAGCCAUUUAAUGGUAGUUGGAAGUUAGUUAGGAAUAACUAGUAGAAUUCAAUUUAAAAAAUAGCUUUGGAAUAGUAUUAAUGCCAAGUUGGGUUGAUGGUGAUGUUGUUGUGUGUGAUAAGUUCCAACUAAACCCCACACCUCCAUUUGAAACCUUAGUCGAAGUUAGAGCCCACCAAAACAUCAAUAAAGACUAGUGAGUGAACUUGCAUUUCAAAAUUUCUUUAGGAAAUGUAAAUGUAUUUGGACGAAACAUUUGAAUGAUUUUAUCCAACCUUUCUUUAAAAACGUGUGCCGGGGAACAAGCCCUUGAUAAAAUGUUUUGAUGUUGUGAAAAUGUGAAAUGUGUAAAAGGAUGAAUCCAUGUACUCCUAUAUUAUGUUGGUAUGUUUAUAUAUAUGAAUAUAUGUUGUGCAUUGAUGAAUAAUGUUGUGUGAUGAUGUUGAAGUGUGCGAUUAGGGAGUGCACACAUGAUGAUGUUAGAGUGUGCGAGUAGGGAGUGCACACAUGAUGAUGAUAUUGCAUUGACCUGAGUGUGGCAGGAUGGUAUGCAUGAUGAUGUAUGUAUAUAUAUAUAUAUGUGUGUGUGUUAUAGAAAGUUAUGGAAAUAUUUGUGAUUGUGUUGCAUGUUGGCAUUGUUAAUUGCUCCCAAAUUGUUUUUCAUUCAACAAGAAAAUAGCUUUUAAUGUAACAUGACCCCUUUUAACCAAAUUGCUCUAUUUCUCGCUGCAAUGAGAUACAUUUUCACUAUAGCGAGAAACUCUCAGGUUAGGGGGGUCAAACUAGCUUGGUUCUCGCUGCAACGAAAGUAAAUCUCGCUAUAGCGAGAAACUCUUGGAUUUUAGUGCAGUGCUUUCACUUCAACAAAGACUUUGACCACAUUCCAAUUGGAACUGGGAAAAGUUGUAAACAUAAAAGUUGUGUCCCAACAUCUUAUCUUUCUAAUAGUCUAAAAAUCAUGUCAAUUAGACUUUUGUAGUGGGAGAUAUGCUUGAAAAACCGAAACAUAUACAAACUAAGACUGUUUCUCACUACAUCUAGAAACUUGUUGUCAUGCUUGCUACCUUGCUUGAUUUUGACAUAUUUUUCACCCAUUUAACUUCAUGGAUUGAUCAUGGGUUUUUGCAACACUAUGAGGUUAUUAAUCAAAGUUUGAAAUGAAGGGUUUUUAGUAAGAAAUUAAAUCAAUCGCAUUGUUUUUGAAACAAAUGCAUCAUGAUUUCCAAUUUCUCCUUAUCGAUUGCUUGUUCCCUUCUUAUGUUCACUCACUGAGUUUAUACUCAUCUUUUUCAAAUUCAUGUUUUAAAAUCAGGAGGCAGUUGGGAACUAGAUUAAGGUGUCCACGUUCAUCCAUCUCUUGGUCGGUAUCAAUGGCAUUCAGUAGCUGCACCUUCACUAUGGUCUUCUUUGCUGGAAGUCUAGAGUCUUUUUU
This 1797-nucleotide long non-coding RNA is filed under the name Theobroma cacao (cacao). Its description in RNAcentral is "long non-coding RNA (TCAC_LNC003330)". The record is from RNAcentral. Lineage: Eukaryota; Viridiplantae; Streptophyta; Magnoliopsida; Malvales; Malvaceae.